GAACUGUGAAUGACGAACCAGUCUACUCGAAAUUAUACCCCUACCCUAUGGGAGCAGCAGACUUCGUUAACAAAGAAGUCAAAGAACUGCUGAAGGACGGCAUAAUCAGGCCAUCUAGGUCGCCAUACAACAGCCCAAUUUGGGUUGUAGACAAAAAGAAAUCUGACGUCAAAGGCAACAGGAAAAAGCGGCUGGUAAUCGACUUCAGAAAACUGAACGAGCGAACAAUUGCCGAUCGAUACCCUAUGCCGAGCAUACCCAUGAUUCUAGCGAACUUGGGAAAGGCAAGAUUUUUUACUACCCUAGAUCUAAAAUCAGGGUACCACCAGAUAUACAUGGCGGAAAAAGACCGUGAAAAACUUCGUUUUCAAUUAACGGAGGGAAAUACGAGUUUUGCCGGUUACCCUUUGGACUAAAGAAUGCUGGGAGCAUUUUCCAAAGGGCAAUCGACGAUGUUCUACGAGAACAAAUUGGGAAAAUAUGUUAUGUCUAUGUAGAUGAUGUAAUAAUUUUUUCCGAAAACGAAAAUGAUCACGUUAAACACAUCGACACAGUGCUAAAACGCCUCUGCGAUGCAAACAUGAGAGUGGCGCCAGAAAAGACAAAGUUCUUUAAAGAAAGCGUAGAGUUCUUAGGCUUCAUAGUUACCAGGGGAGGAGCCAAGACCGACCCAGAAAAAGUAAGGGCAAUAAGGGAAUACACUGAACCCAAAACACUGUUCAGCCUCAGGUCCUUCCUCGGGCUGGCCAGCUAUUACAGGAGCUUUGUCAGAGAUUUCGCGACAAUAGCGAGACCCUUAACCGCAUUACUCAAAGGAGAAAAUGGCACAGUCAGCAAACACAUGUCCAAGAAAGUUGCGAUUCAGUUCGGUGAAACGCAACGCAACGCAUUCGACCGUCUGCGAAACAUUUUGGCGUCAGAGGACGUCAUCCUUACAUACCCUGAUUUCAAACUACCCUUUGAUCUAACUACCGAUGCCUCAGCAAGCGGCAUUGGGGCGGUCCUGUCCCAAAACGGCAGGCCAAUCACAAUGAUCUCGCGAACACUAAAAGAUUGUGAAGUAAACUACGCCACAAACGAAAGGGAAUUGUUGGCAAUUGUAUGGGCUAUAGGGAAGUUACAAAAUUACUUAUACGGUACCAAGGAAGUAAGAAUCUUUACCGAUCACCAGCCCUUCACAUUUGCUGUGUCCGAUAGGAACACAAAUGCCAAAAUCAAACGGUGGAAAGCCUUUAUAGAGGAACAUAACGC
Molecule: long non-coding RNA, 1251 nt
Filed under: Drosophila guanche
Lineage: Eukaryota; Metazoa; Arthropoda; Insecta; Diptera; Drosophilidae
Source: RNAcentral